UUCCGGUUGAUCCCGCCGGACCUGACUGCUAUCGGAUUGAUACUAAGCCAUGCUAGUCUUUGUAGUAAUACAAGGCAUACGGCUCAGUAACGCGUAGUCAACCUACCCUAUGGACGGGGAUAAUCUCGGGAAACUGAGCAUAAUACCCGGCAGACCACUUAUCCUGGAAUGGUUAGUGGUUAAAAUGAUUCGUCGCCAUAGGAUGGGACUGCGGCCUAUCAGCUUGUUGGUGAGGUAAUGGCCCACCAAGGCGAUUACAGGUACGGGCUCUGAGAGGAGAAGCCCGGAGAUGGGUACUGAGACACGGACCCAGGCCCUAUGGGGCGCAGCAGGCGAGAAAACUUUGCAAUGUGCGAAAGCACGACAAGGUUAAUCCGAGUGAUUUCUGCUAAAGAAAUCUUUUGCCAGUCAUAAAACCACUGGUGAAUAAGGGGUGGGCAAGUUCUGGUGUCAGCCGCCGCGGUAAAACCAGCACCUCAAGUGGUCAGGAUGAUUAUUGGGCCUAAAGCAUCCGUAGCCGGCUCUGUAAGUUUUCGGUUAAAUCUAUGCGCUCAACGUAUGGGCUGCCGAAAAUACUGUAGAGAUAGGGAGUGGGAGAGGUAGACGGUACUCGGUAGGAAGGGGUAAAAUCCUUUGAUCUAUCGAUGACCACCUGUGGCGAAGGCGGUCUACCAGAACACGUUCGACGGUGAGGGAUGAAAGCUGGGGGAGCAAACCGGAUUAGAUACCCGGGUAGUCCCAGCUGUAAACGAUGCAGACUCGAUGAUGCAUUGGCAUAUAGCCAGUGCAGUGUCGCAGGGAAGCCGUUAAGUCUGCCGCCUGGGAAGUACGUACGCAAGUAUGAAACUUAAAGGAAUUGGCGGGGGAGCACCACAAGGGGUGAAGCCUGCGGUUCAAUUGGAGUCAACGCCGGG
This 914-nucleotide ribosomal RNA is filed under the name uncultured marine archaeon. RNAcentral describes it as "bacterial SSU rRNA". It matches the Rfam family "Archaeal small subunit ribosomal RNA", at positions 1 to 922 of the family's 1478-position model. The record is from RNAcentral.